GACGAACGCUGGCGGCGUGCUUAACACAUGCAAGUCGAACGGAAAGGCCCUGCUUUUGUGGGGUGCUCGAGUGGCGAACGGGUGAGUAACACGUGAGUAACCUGCCCUUGACUUUGGGAUAACUUCAGGAAACUGGGGCUAAUACCGGAUAGGAGCUCCUGCUGCAUGGUGGGGGUUGGAAAGUUUCGGCGGUUGGGGAUGGACUCGCGGCUUAUCAGCUUGUUGGUGGGGUAGUGGCUUACCAAGGCUUUGACGGGUAGCCGGCCUGAGAGGGUGACCGGCCACAUUGGGACUGAGAUACGGCCCAGACUCCUACGGGAGGCAGCAGUGGGGAAUAUUGCACAAUGGGCGGAAGCCUGAUGCAGCAACGCCGCGUGCGGGAUGACGGCCUUCGGGUUGUAAACCGCUUUCGCCCGUGACGAAGCGUGAGUGACGGUAAUGGGUAAAGAAGCACCGGCUAACUACGUGCCAGCAGCCGCGGUGAUACGUAGGGUGCGAGCGUUGUCCGGAUUUAUUGGGCGUAAAGGGCUCGUAGGUGGUUGAUCGCGUCGGAAGUGUAAUCUUGGGGCUUAACCCUGAGCGUGCUUUCGAUACGGGUUGACUUGAGGAAGGUAGGGGAGGAUGGAAUUCCUGGUGGAGCGGUGGAAUGCGCAGAUAUCAGGAGGAACACCAGUGGCGAAGGCGGUUCUCUGGGCCUUUCCUGACGCUGAGGAGCGAAAGCGUGGGGAGCGAACAGGCUUAGAUACCCUGGUAGUCCACGCUGUAAACGGUGGGUACUAGGUGUGGGGUCCAUUCCACGGGUUCCGUGCCGUAGCUAACGCUUUAAGUACCCCGCCUGGGGAGUACGGCCGCAAGGCUAAAACUCAAAGGAAUUGACGGGGCCCCGCACAAGCGGCGGAGCAUGCGGAUUAAUUCGAUGCAACGCGUAGAACCUUACCUGGGUUUGACAUGGAUCGGGAGUGCUCAGAGAUGGGUGUGCCUCUUUUGGGGUCGGUUCACAGGUGGUGCAUGGCUGUCGUCAGCUCGUGUCGUGAGAUGUUGGGUUAAGUCCCGCAACGAGCGCAACCCUUGUUCACUGUUGCCAGCACGUUAUGGUGGGGACUCAGUGGAGACCGCCGGGGUCAACUCGGAGGAAGGUGGGGAUGACGUCAAGUCAUCAUGCCCCUUAUGUCCAGGGCUUCACGCAUGCUACAAUGGCUGGUACAGAGAGUGGCGAGCCUGUGAGGGUGAGCGAAUCUCGGAAAGCCGGUCUCAGUUCGGAUCGGGGUCUGCAACUCGACCUCAUGAAGUCGGAGUCGCUAGUAAUCGCAGAUCAGCAACGCUGCGGUGAAUACGUUCCCGGGGCU
Molecule: ribosomal RNA, 1346 nt
Filed under: uncultured bacterium
Lineage: Bacteria
Description: partial 16S ribosomal RNA
Rfam family: Bacterial small subunit ribosomal RNA
Source: RNAcentral